This 113-nucleotide ribosomal RNA is filed under the name Neogale vison (American mink). Lineage: Eukaryota; Metazoa; Chordata; Mammalia; Carnivora; Mustelidae. The record is from RNAcentral.
AAGCACAGACAGAGCCGGACUCUUAGAAAUUCUGUAUCUCGUCUGAUCUCGGAAGCUAAGCAGGGUCGGGCCUGGUUAGUACUUGGAUGGGAGAAAUUCUGUAUCUGUCCUGC